AAAUUAAAGAAGGAUGUGAAGGUUAGGCUAAGAAGUGUGAUGAGCUUUAUUUAGGUAAUAGGCAAUGAGGAGAAAUUGAAACAUGAAGGAACAUAAUUUGAGGUGUGAUUAUUUGAGUUUUUAAAAUAUUAUCACUGUGCAUCAGAAUGGGUUAGGGAAGGCUUAAAUCCUGGAUGCUGGCUCAGCACCUAUUAGAGCAAUUAAAAUGAGAAAUGAUGCAGACUAAACUAGAAUUUCAGGUAAAAAUAGGAAAAAUAUGGUAUACGCGUUAAAAAAUGGUAUAGGCGUUAAAAAACUACACUUGACUGAGUUAGAAUAUGGAGGAAAAGGAAGUAUGGAGAUCAGAAGAAAACAUCAGGAUUUGGGAGCUUGGACACAGCUAACUUGUCUCCAACUAGACUUUCCAGAAGGA
This 412-nucleotide long non-coding RNA is filed under the name Pan troglodytes (chimpanzee). RNAcentral's name for it is "long non-coding RNA NONPTRT013489". Lineage: Eukaryota; Metazoa; Chordata; Mammalia; Primates; Hominidae. The record is from RNAcentral.